GUAGCACCUCAUGACUCGUCUCUCCCCCACCCCCCUUUCACUGCCGCCCAGCAGACCACAGACUCUGAAACCGCUGCAGAUUGAGCACUGAUCACUUCAAGAAAAGAAAGGUGUCCCCCACCUCAAAGCCCCACAUGAGCUCUGCCUGAGAGAAAUGGGGGCUGAUUACUUAGUCUGCCAGCAUGGGCACACAAUGCUCCCUUCUCCCCGAUGGUCACCUGUGGAAACCGCACUGCGCAGAGACCCUGACUUUCUGGAAACAUCCGUGGAACGCUCUGUGAAAACGCCUUUCGAGUACACGGCACAUUCUUUUGAACCUCUUCUGCACUGGAACAUCUUGUUCCUUCAGGGAUUGAUACUUGGAAACAGCCAGAAGUCAUUUGGAUGCACGUUUGGAAGACAAGGAAAACUAUCAUGCUACAGAAUCGCUGCUGGUGAAAUCUGAGAGAUGCUUUGGGGUGUGAACGAAAGUCAGGGGUUCUCACCUUGGAGCGUGGAGAUUCUGAGUAUAACUUUUUUGGGGGGUUAUGUCUUUAGCUGAUGUUAUAGCCUCCCAGUGAUUCCACAAUUCAAAAAAGUCAAUGAUAUAAGGUCCUUUUUCUGUGGGUUGUGGAGAGAAGUCAUGGGUCAAGAGAGCAGAGUGCAGGUUGUAGCUUCACCUGUAAUUUGAUGUGUGGUCACAGUGGUUUCCAGAACUCCCAAAACUUCCAUGUCCUCACAUGCAAACUGGGGGAGUGAGUUGUGUCUCCAAUACUGAGUUACUCUGGGUUUUAGUUAGGUUUCUAUUGCUGUGACGGAACACCAUGACCAAAAAGCAAGUUGAGAAGGAAAGGGUUUAUUUGGCUUAUGCUUCCAGAUUGUACUCCAUCAUUGAAGGAAGUCAGGACAUGAACUCCAAAAGGGCAGGAAUCUGGAGGCAGGAGCUGAUGCAGAGGUCAUGGAGGAGUGCUGCUUACUGGUUUAUUCCUCAUGGUUUGUUCAGCCUGCUUUCUUAUAGAGUGGAGGACCACCAGCCCAGGGAUGACUCCACCCACAAUGGGCUGGGCCCUCCCCCAUCAAUCACUAAUUAAUAAAAUGCUCUACAGGCUUGCCUGCAGCCUGAUUUUUUUCUAUUCUCUCAUACAAUACAUCCCAACUCCAGCCUUCCUUCCCUCCGCUCCUCCCAGUCCCCUGCCCCCAGAUCCACUGCUCCUCCAUUUCCUUUCAGAAAAGAGCAUGCCUCCCAAUGAUCUUAUGGAGACAUCCUCUCAGAUGAUUUUAGCUUGUGUAGAGUUGACAUAAAACUAUCCUGCACACUCUUUAAUCCCAUAAAAUCCAAGCAGAGAAGAUUCAGGAAACAACAACUUGUUUUUGAAAAUCAAACAUCUUUUGGCCAAGCAGGUAAUUCAGCUUUCCCAGGUGACUCUCUCAAAUGUCAGUCUUCAUUUGGAUGAUUUAGGACUAAUGUGCCUGAUCACAGACAUCAGCAUCCUGGUAUUGGAACUAGGAAUCUAGAGACAUCAAGCAGGCCUAAUCCGAGAGGGAAGGCAGAGAGGCUCAAACAGCAGAGGGACUUGUUCAGAAUUGUAGGAGGCACGGAGGUCCUUGUGCUCACAGAUAAGCACUAGGAGAACCAGGAAGAGUAGCACAUAGGCUUGGUUCCUUCAAGCCAACGAAUGCAAUACCUGUUAUCCGCCCAGAAGGCUGGGAGCAGAUGAGUGUUCUAGCCCAGUGACAUUUGCAUUAUCUGUGUGGCUGCAUGAGGCCCUCUUCCUAGACCCUUAUUCUAAGCUUGUUUUUCUCAGUCAAUCUAUACAACCUAUCUUGAUGGCAGGUGUCACAUGUAGUCAAUCUAUAGAACCCUUAUGGAAGAUGUCACGUGUACUUCACAAAGAAUUUUGAUGUAGUCAUGUCUGAUCUUUAUUUAGCUUAUUUUGUUCCUCAAAGAGAUUUAUAUGUGCUUUAUUGUGCACAUGGGAUUGGGUUCAUUAUCACCUGAAAAAUUUUGACCAAACUGUGCUGUGCUUAAAUAUGCCUAAAAUAAAUUACUUGGGGUCAGCUUCCUGAUGUUUGAACCGAUGACCAGCUAUUUGCUAUGUUGAACCAAGCUGCCUUCUUGCCUCCCGGGGAUUGUCCCUCUGCUGGCCUUGAAGGUCACAGAGAUACACACACCCCUCCUGUGCACACAUGGUACAAAGGGUUGAGGAAUAAGAGGGAGCCUGGAAGGGGCAGCAGAAUGCUGCUAGGGGCAGGAAGCAUCAGCUGAGGCAAGUACCAUAGGAGACCAGAAGCAGGGGUCUGCCUUGAGUGAAGGUUCUGAGGCUGGGGAUGUAGCUCACUGCUAGAGAACCUGCCUAGGUAGGAGGAUUUGGUCUCCAGAGGUUAAUCCGGGGUGGAGUGGAAUAAACAGAAUUCAGGCAAGAGAACUAGUUGUCUGGGACUGAACCCCACUUAGCAGGAGCCUAAUCUAGGACCUAGGGUGCAGAGUAACUUGAGACUAGACCAGAGGCUGUCUUCAGGAUAUAGCCUGCACUAAAGACUCUGCCAUUAGCCAUAGAAGACAGGACUCUGGUGACCUUCUGAAGUUGGGGAAUAGCUUAGGAGCUACCUGAUGGCUGUGGGUUCAUUCCCACUCUCUCCCUCCUGAAAGCUUAAACAAUUUUUCUAGUGAUAAACGUUUGUUGGUAUAGAUUCCAUUGAUAAAUAUGGUUAAUUUUUUUAGAUUCGUAUUUUAGCAUGCGAUUUUUUAAAUAAAAUUAUUUAGGAAACAUUUGUCCAUGGUUCCUUAGUUACAGUUAAAUAGGAGCAGGUAGUUGUUGGGUACUCUUGCAUAGCAGGGCCAGUGUAGGUAGUGACUAUUAGAAGAGAUCUGGGCAUGGUGGCACAUGCGUACAAUCUGAGCACUUGGAAGGCUGAGAGAGGAGGAUUGCCAUGAAUUCAUGUCCAUCUUGGGCCACACAGUGAGUUCCAUGCCAGCCUGGACUACGGAGUAAGAUCUGAUCUCAACAAGCUAAAUCUCAAAGAAAAGCGUAUGAAAGUUUUCAUCAUAAUAAAUGGCAAAUGUUUGAGGAAAUAAUGUUUAAUCUGAUUUUUAAAAAGCAUUAUGCAGGACGGGAGAGAUGGUUCAGCAGUCAAGGGCACAUGCUGCUCUUGCAGAUGACCCAGUUGGUAUACCACAUGGUGGUUUGCAACUGUCUUUAACUGCAGUUUCUGGGAUCCCAAACCCUCUUCUGGCUUCUGAGGGCACCAGGCACACAGAGUGCACAUACACACAUGUAGGCAAAUGAUCAUACACAUAAAAUAAAAGAAACUAUAAAGUAGUAUGUAAGCAUUAUGCACAGUCUUAUGUUUUUAAGGUAGCGACCUAAAAUGUGCGCCUUGGUUCUCAUUCAUAUUCCUCUAUCUACAUAGAUUCUCUUUAGUAGGUAAUUGUCCUGAAAACAGAGCGACUAUCAAUACAUUUUUCAGCCUUUUUCAUUAUCAACCAUUGUGUUUGGAGGCAUAAAAGCACUCAUUAUCAUGA
Molecule: long non-coding RNA, 3502 nt
Organism: Peromyscus californicus insignis
Lineage: Eukaryota; Metazoa; Chordata; Mammalia; Rodentia; Cricetidae
Exons: 2
Source: RefSeq, a predicted model, not a curated record